UACGGAGGGUGCGAGCGUUGUCCGGAAUCACUGGGCGUAAAGGGCGCGUAGGCGGCGCGGGCAGUCAACGGUGAAAGCUCGGGGCUCAACUCCGAGUCGGCCGGCGAUACUCCCGUGCUCGAGCACUGUAGAGGCAGGUGGAAUUCCGGGUGUAGCGGUGGAAUGCGUAGAGAUCCGGAAGAACACCGGUGGCGAAGGCGGCCUGCUGGGCAGUAGCGGACGCUGAGGCGCGAAAGCGGGGUAGCAAACAGG
This 252-nucleotide ribosomal RNA is filed under the name uncultured bacterium. Its description in RNAcentral is "partial 16S ribosomal RNA". It matches the Rfam family "Bacterial small subunit ribosomal RNA", at positions 524 to 776 of the family's 1533-position model. The record is from RNAcentral.